RNAcentral lists this ribosomal RNA (1245 nucleotides) under Prosapia simulans unifasciata. Its description in RNAcentral is "SSU rRNA". It matches the Rfam family "Eukaryotic small subunit ribosomal RNA", at positions 723 to 1804 of the family's 1831-position model. The record is from RNAcentral. Lineage: Eukaryota; Metazoa; Arthropoda; Insecta; Hemiptera; Cercopidae.
CUGUGUUCCACGCUGUCGGUUCGCCGCCCGUCGGUGUCAACUGGCAUGUCCUGUGGAACGUCCUGCCGGUGGCGGUCCGGGCUUUCGGCUUGCGUAAGGGCUCACGCCCGAAGCAGGCCGAACAGUACCGGCCGCCGGUCCAAUCCCGCCACGGUGCUCUUCACCGAGUGUCGAGGUGGGCCGGCACGUUUACUUUGAACAAAUUAGAGUGCUUAAAGCAGGCUGGUGUCCGCCUGAAUACUGUGUGCAUGGAAUAAUAGAAUAGGACCUCGGUUCUAUUUUGUUGGUUUUCGGAACCCGAGGUAAUGAUUAAUAGGGACAGGCGGGGGCAUUCGUAUUGCGACGUUAGAGGUGAAAUUCUUGGAUCGUCGCAAGACGAACCUAAGCGAAAGCAUUUGCCAAGUAUGUUCUCGUUAAUCAAGAACGAAAGUUAGAGGUUCGAAGGCGAUCAGAUACCGCCCUAGUUCUAACCAUAAACGAUGCCAGCCAGCGAUCCGCCGAAGUUCCUCCGAUGACUCGGCGGGCAGCUUCCGGGAAACCAAAGCUUUUGGGUUCCGGGGGAAGUAUGGUUGCAAAGCUGAAACUUAAAGGAAUUGACGGAAGGGCACCACCAGGAGUGGAGCCUGCGGCUUAAUUUGACUCAACACGGGAAACCUCACCAGGCCCGGACACCGGAAGGAUUGACAGAUUGAGAGCUCUUUCUUGAUUCGGUGGGUGGUGGUGCAUGGCCGUUCUUAGUUGGUGGAGCGAUUUGUCUGGUUAAUUCCGAUAACGAACGAGACUCUAGCCUGCUAACUAGGCGAUUCCGGUACCCACAAUAGUGUUACCGGCGAUUCAAUUUCUUCUUAGAGGGACAGGCGGCUCCUAGCCGCACGAGACUGAGCAAUAACAGGUCUGUGAUGCCCUUAGAUGUCCUGGGCCGCACGCGCGCUACACUGAAGGAAUCAGCGUGUCUUCCCUGGCCGACAGGCCCGGGUAACCCGUUGAACCUCCUUCGUGCUAGGGAUUGGGGCUUGCAAUUGUUCCCCAUGAACGAGGAAUUCCCAGUAAGCGCGAGUCAUAAGCUCGCGUUGAUUACGUCCCUGCCCUUUGUACACACCGCCCGUCGCUACUACCGAUUGAAUGAUUUAGUGAGGUCUUCGGACUGGUGCGCGGCGAUCGGCUUAUACUGCCGGCCGCCGAUGUUGCCGGAAAGAUGACCAAACUUGAUCAUUUAGAGGAAGUAAAAGUCGUAACAAGGUUUCC